ACAUAGCUUUCAGCAAAAAGCCUUUGGCUUGAAGUAAUGAAGGUGAGGCCUGCCCAAUGAUUGUAUCUGAACUCRAAUAAUAAAAUAAGUUAUUUGGYUAAGGGCAAUUAAAUGGCCGCAGUAACUCUGACUGCGAUAAUGUAGCGCAAUCAAUAGCCAAUUAAUUGUUGGCAAGUAUGAAUGGCUUAACGAGCGCCCCACUGUCUCAAGAUAAAAACCAGUGAAAUUGAAGUUGUAGUGAAGAUGCUACAUAAAAAUUGUAAGACGAGAAGACCCCAUUGAGCUUUACUGAAGGCUUAUAUUGUUUUUUUUUUAAUUAAUAUGUAGAUUAUGUGGAAAUAUUUUAAUAUGAAAAUUCCACUUAUUAAUAAUAAAGAAAACUAUUUGAAGUUUAAGUUGUACAGUUUGGUUGGGGCGACCGCCUUCUAAAGAGUAACGAAGGUGUACAUAAGGUAAAUAAUAUAAUAAUAUAAAAAUGCCUGAGAGCGAGGAGAACGUCUAAGCUGACACAGAAUAUAAUCUGUGGGUUAUAAUGACCCGUUAGUUAAGAGUGGAUUUGCUAACGAGCAAUGAAUAAAAGUUACCAUGGGGAUAACAGCGUAAUAUUGUUUGAGAGUUCAUAUUGACGACGAUGUU
This 636-nucleotide ribosomal RNA is filed under the name Merlia normani. RNAcentral's name for it is "partial 16S ribosomal RNA". It matches the Rfam family "Bacterial large subunit ribosomal RNA", at positions 1813 to 2518 of the family's 2925-position model. Lineage: Eukaryota; Metazoa; Porifera; Demospongiae; Merliida; Merliidae. The record is from RNAcentral.